RNAcentral lists this ribosomal RNA (232 nucleotides) under Vibrio parahaemolyticus. Its description in RNAcentral is "partial 23S ribosomal RNA". It matches the Rfam family "Bacterial large subunit ribosomal RNA", at positions 1720 to 1932 of the family's 2925-position model. The record is from RNAcentral. Lineage: Bacteria; Pseudomonadati; Pseudomonadota; Gammaproteobacteria; Vibrionales; Vibrionaceae.
AAAUGGUACCGUAACUUCGGGAGAAGGUACGCUCUCGACGGUGAAGUCCCUCGCGGAUGGAGCUAUUGAGAGUCGCAGAUACCAGGUGGCUGCAACUGUUUAUUAAAAAACACAGCACUGUGCAAAAAUCGUAAGAUGACGUAUACGGUGUGACGCCUGCCCGGUGCCGGAAGGUUAAUUGAUGGGGUUAGACUUCGGUCGAAGCUCUUGAUCGAAGCCCCGGUAAACGGCG